Molecule: ribosomal RNA, 484 nt
Filed under: uncultured bacterium
Lineage: Bacteria
Description: partial 16S ribosomal RNA
Rfam family: Bacterial small subunit ribosomal RNA
Source: RNAcentral
AUUGAACGCUGGCGGCAUGCUUUACACAUGCAAGUCGAACGGCAGCGCGGGCUUCGGCCUGGCGGCGAGUUGCGAACGGGUGAGUAAUACAUCGGAACGUGCCCAGUCGUGGGGGAUAGCUCGGCGAAAGCCGGAUUAAUACCGCAUCCGACCUGAUGGUGAAAGCGGGGGAUCUUCGGACCUCGCGCUAUUUGAGCGGCCGAUGGCAGAUUAGCUAGUUGGUGGGGUAACGGCCUACCAAGGCGACGAUCUGUAGCUGCUCUGAGAGGACGACCAGCCACACUGGGACUGAGACACGGCCCAGACUCCUACGGGAGGCAGCAGUGGGGAAUUUUGGACAAUGGGCGAAAGCCUGAUCCAGCAAUGCCGCGUGUGUGAUGAAGGCCUUCGGGUUGUAAAGCACUUUUGGCGGGAACGAAAAGGACUGUGCCAAUACCACGGUUCGAUGACGGUACCCGAAGAAUAAGCACCGGCUAACUACGUG